RNAcentral lists this non-coding RNA (459 nucleotides) under Ixodes scapularis (black-legged tick). RNAcentral describes it as "Eukaryotic large subunit ribosomal RNA". It matches the Rfam family "Eukaryotic large subunit ribosomal RNA", at positions 2121 to 2706 of the family's 3401-position model. Lineage: Eukaryota; Metazoa; Arthropoda; Arachnida; Ixodida; Ixodidae. The record is from Rfam by way of RNAcentral.
GAUUGGUGGUGCAGGUAGAGAGAACAAUUGUUUUUAUUUCUUUUCACUCUCACUUACAAAAUGUCCCUAUCUACUAUCUAGCGAAACCACAGCCAAGGGAACGGGCUUGGAAAAAUCAUCGGGGAAAGAAGACCCUGUUGAGCUUGACUCUAGUCUGACUCUGUGAAGAGACAUGAGAGGUGUAGCAUAAGUGGGAGGCCGUGAACCCUCGCGGUUGUGUCGUGCCGUCAGUGAAAUACCACUACUUUCAUCGUUUCUUUACUUACUCGGUGAAGCGGAAAGCGGAUCAUGAGUGUCCACGCUUCUAGCACUAAGUGCAAGGCCCUUCGUUGGCCCGCACGAUCUGUUCCGAGGACAGUGUCAGGCGGGGAGUUUGACUGGGGCGGUACAUCUGUCAAAUGGUAACGCAGGUGUCCUAAGGCGAGCUCAGCGAGGACAGAAACCUCGCGUAGAGCAAAA